Perca fluviatilis (European perch) is the source of this 3060-nucleotide long non-coding RNA. RefSeq lists it as uncharacterized. The record is from RefSeq and is a predicted model, not a curated record. Lineage: Eukaryota; Metazoa; Chordata; Actinopteri; Perciformes; Percidae. The transcript has 2 exons.
UUCACACCGAACCGUUUGGUCCUGUUUUGUCCGUUUUCUGUGGAGAUGGCAGCAACGCACCACCGCAGCGCGUUCCGCUGUUUUGGUUAUUUCUGCAGCAGCUGAUCCAGGAGGCGUUUUCGGAACACAGGCUCGACCACCUGGAUCUCGUCGCUCCUCCCACAGUCUCCCCGCUGCUCCGGUUCCUUAAAGUUGCCAUGGUAGAAGGAGGAAGGGGGUCCGUCUCAUCUCUGGCCAAUGCAAGCAUUGAGUUACGCAUUCAUGCAGAAUAAAGUAACUUUUUCAUAUUCUGAAUGACUUGAAGACUGGAAAAACACGGAACGGAUAUUUGGAAGCUGCUGACUGACCAGGGAGUCAAAUUGUAUUUAAAAUAGAUAAAUACGUUUUUUGUUUGAAUUCUAUACUCUGAUUCAGUAGUGGAAGAAGUAUAAUAGAUACUUUACUUGAGUAAGUAGCAAUAUAAAAAUGUAAAGUCUCCUUGAGUAAAAAUCUCAUGAGUAGAAGCAUUCUCAACUAAAUUAAAAUAAAAAAAAUAAAAGUACCUAAAUCUCGCCUGCCAAUGUUAUAUAAUUAUAUAAGAUAUCAUUUGGAUUAUUAUUACUCGUACAAAAACAUGUACAGUAUAUGUACAAUCUUAAUCUGCAAAGUAACUAUAGCUGUCAUGGAAAUGGAGUAAAGUAAAAAGUUAAAUAUUUCACUCUGAAUUGUUAAUCGCCCUAAUAAUAUCUAAAUGUACAGUAGGCCUAUUACCAUUGCCAUGGGUAUUUCUGAUCUGUUGCACCAGGAAUCAAGGAAAGAUUAAGAGGAAAUCUAGGCCCAAUUUUUUUUCUUCUUUUUUUAAUCAAAAAUACAGAAAGACACACAGUCACCACAUAAAAAUCUAAAUCUAGCUCUUGUUUUUUCCCCAUUACAGUCAAACAAUGUGUAGAAGUAUUAAAAUUAGUUAUUUAGGUCAAAGCCUUUCUCUCCCGAAUCCUUCCAGCUUUCAGGGACUAAAACAAUUCUUCAGUCAGUUUGAAGUCCUUGACAUGAAAGCAACUGGAUGGUUUGUUUUAGUCUUAUCUUUUUGUUGAAAGCCAAUCCCGUAUUUACUACGGACAAAGACUGUUUGUUGAAUAAAAUAAAACCCAAAGUUUACAGUCAAGUCUGUGAGUUAGGCUACUCAUUUUUUUUCCUGUUUGAAGUAGAAACAUGAUUAUAAUGUGUUAUACAGAGAGAAGACAGGACUUUUUGGAGUUAGUUAUGUAUUUCAUUAGGAAAUGAAAUCUCCCCCGCGUCUCUAAGACCUCUGAUGCCAGAGGAAACAAAUGACACAUUAUGCUGGCGGGCAGACCUCUUAAAAUAGUUACAGUUUAGCGCCUGUUAAGACCACUCACCUGAUUCAAAGGUUCUUAAAUUCCCAUUUCAAUAUCUACAUUAAGUCAGCGGGGAAUGUGGAUUGUUAGAUGUGUAUGAACUUACAGGAAAAACCAAAAGAAGCACACUCAGACUGUUUUUGACAAUUUAACAUCUUUUCUGCCCAGAAAAGGUUUAGAGACAAGUUUUGUUUUACACAAGGUGUUAUGCAAUGUUCCCCUCAGUGUAUUAUCAAAAUCUAUACUGAAAACAAUGCUUAGCUCUAGAGCCCUGUUUCAGUUUGUGAUGUUACUUUGUGUGUCUUUGUGCAACAAGCUCUUUGUUUAGUAUUGUUCAUAAUUAAUUGCUUUUGUGUGGUUUGGUGUCAGCUCUUCAUUAGCACCAGCUGACACAAGCUAUGACUGGCUGUUAGGACGUGUCCAUCACCCGUCAACAGGCAGGCCAGUGACUUUUGACCUCUGAGGUCAUCAGUGGGUCAGCUGUUCAUUUGAGACACUUUCUGCUAUGUGUAUUCCCACAGUAUCUCUACAGUGGUUAUUUACAGUCUAAGUGGUAUGUAUAUGUAUGUGUAUGUGUAUGUCACCAAUCAAUCAUCUGGAUUGUUUUGCCCUAAAAUUACUGUUUGUUACAAAUUAGGAAUCCCUCACCUUAUUGGAACCCAUAGAUGUGGGAGGACAAACUGACACCAUUCACACCGCAUUAGGAUGAUGGAUGAGGAUGAAUUGUCUGCUAGAUACUGUUUAUACCAUAUAGCUUUAAAAUAUUUGUAAUCAAAAUACAGACGGUAAGAACCAACCAGCCAAAGCAAUUGCUCUAGGGCCCCAGACUGGGAUUUUUACCAUUCAAACUGCAUCUGAAACAUCCAUAUCCCUUUACCUCCCUGAACUGCGAAGAUAGCCCUUACCAAUCACUUACAAUGUUAGUUUUGUAUCAAGAGACACACAUGCACAAUAUGUAUAAACUGCUUAUGAAUGCUAAAUAAGGGGACUUAUCGUAAGUGUAACCUAAAGAGUCAGUAAGUGCCCAGGGGCCCAGAGGGUUAAUCAAGCCCUGUUUAUCAAUUAGAACAUGUCAUGAUGUGUGUCUGCAUGUACUGUAUGUGUGUUCUUAUACGUUAAUCUUAUGUCAGCUGUUCUGCUCAUUGAGACAUGAGGUCAGGUCCGACAGGGUCACGCAGUCAUGUGGGAACACAACUGGGAUUAUCCAACCUGCUUUAAUGUCUCACAUGGACACAUACUGUACAGUUUAGACUGGGCUUGAAGGAUGUGUAGGGCAGUGUGCUUCAUUUCUUAUUUGCUUAAUAGUACUUUUUAGAGAUAUUAUAACAACUAAGAAGAGGCAGAAAAUGCGGUGCAAAUGCAGUUCUUGUAGGUCACAGCAUCUUAUUAAUUUGAAAGUAGCUAUGUUGAGUGUUUUGUAUUAACAAUGGUUCACCAAAAAAUAAAUAACUAUUAUCAGGUUACAUAACUCUGUAUAUCACACUUAAUAUUUACAGUCCAUCAAGAUUUUUUACCUCUGAAUGUAAAGAAUUGUUUAAAUCUUUUUUUCACAAAGUGUUCAGUGCUGUCGUGGUUACUCAGCAAACGAAGAAGCCAGCUGAGAAUAACCUUUAUCAACAACUAUCUGACGAGAUACACAGGUCACAGGGUUCUCCUGCACAAAGCCACGGGACUGCAUCAAAACUGUUUAGCCAAGAACAGAGAU